UUUUACAAAUUCUCACAGCGGAUUCCGCAGUGAAUAAAGUUUCCGAAGUUAAACAAUAACCGCAACAAAAGCGCCGCUCAACCUGCUCAAGUGAGAUUGUUUACAUUUGGAACUAUAAUUUAAGACUCACAUCACGCUCAAAUAAUCUUGGUAUUUCGCAUUCUGAUGACACCAUUUGACAUCUCGUGUGAAUUAAAAUCGGCAGUGAACUCGAUUUUUUAUGUCAAAUUAAAAGUUGCUUUUUCCUAAUAUAGCGAAGUUAAAGGCUGUUUUACGUGAAAAUAUUCAAAUAUAGGACAAUCUAUAUAUAUAUAUAUAUAUAUAUAUGUGAAGGCCCGUCCACUUUAAACCUCUAUUUCAAUAAAUACAUUAUGUAAAUAAUAAAAAAAACCUUAAUACAAUAUCUAUAGAUGGCGAAGAAAAAGGCAUGAAACGACCAAUUGGUUUCUCGGCCUUGGUUACUAUCGCUAUAUAUUUUUUCCAAUACCCAAGACAUUAUGUGGUAUUUACGAAACCUAAAACAUUUCCUAUAUGGGCUGCUGAGAUGAACGAAGAGUCUAGUAAAUAGAUAAUCUAAGAGUUCCAAUGUUCCAAAAAUCCUGGUUGAAUUUUUCUGCCUUUGAAGAAGAAUAUCACAUUUGUAUCAAUGACAAGGACCCUGGAUAUAGAAAAACACAAUAGUGCAGAUAUUUUCAAAUAAUUAAAUUUCAACUAUCUUUCAAUUUAUAAUAAAUGAUAUCACAGCCCGAACAACCAAAAUUGGCGGUUCUUACAUCUUUAUAAAUAUUGAUAGGUAUAACAUUAAGGUUUUGAAUAAAAACAUUAUUCGCUUUACACAAGUAUAAAAUACCAUCAUUAUGUACAUGAUAGUUUAAG
Molecule: long non-coding RNA, 876 nt
Organism: Pieris rapae (cabbage white)
Lineage: Eukaryota; Metazoa; Arthropoda; Insecta; Lepidoptera; Pieridae
Exons: 3
Source: RefSeq, a predicted model, not a curated record